UACGAAGGGGGCUAGCGUUGCUCGGAAUCACUGGGCGUAAAGCGCACGUAGGCGGGUCGUUAAGUCGGGGGUGAAAUCCUGGAGCUCAACUCCAGAACUGCCUUCGAUACUGGCGAUCUUGAGUCUGGGAGAGGUGAGUGGAACUCCGAGUGUAGAGGUGAAAUUCGUAGAUAUUCGCAAGAACACCAGUGGCGAAGGCGGCUUACUGGUCCGGUUCUGACGCUGAGGCGCGAAAGCGUGGGGAGCAAACAGG
This 253-nucleotide ribosomal RNA is filed under the name uncultured bacterium. RNAcentral describes it as "partial 16S ribosomal RNA". It matches the Rfam family "Bacterial small subunit ribosomal RNA", at positions 524 to 776 of the family's 1533-position model. The record is from RNAcentral.